AUGGCGUUCGCCGAUGAGUACAAGGACAUGGAGGCCCACAGCAACACCAAGUUGCACGUCAUCCACACCAACGACAAGAAGCAGGUGGCGAUCACCCUCGCGCAGUACGAGCGCCACCUCAGCCUCCAGCGCCACAAGAUUGUCGGCAUUGAUCUCGAGGACAACAACGAGCCUAAAGCGACGCAGAAACCCGCCCUCUGCCAACUCUCCAUCGGCAAGAAACACCCGGUGCUGGUCUUCCAACUGAGCGCCGCUGAAAGGUGCACCCUCUUCGACAACUUCCUUGCCAACCCUAGGUACACCUUUGCAGGCUUCUCCAUCGACGGCGACAAAAAAGGCUAG
This 342-nucleotide ribosomal RNA is filed under the name Triticum aestivum (bread wheat). Its description in RNAcentral is "partial small subunit ribosomal RNA". The record is from RNAcentral. Lineage: Eukaryota; Viridiplantae; Streptophyta; Magnoliopsida; Poales; Poaceae.